CAUUAGUUUAGUGGUAAAAUAUCUGUCUUCCAAGUAGAUGUCCCUAGUUCGAUUCCCGGAUG
Molecule: transfer RNA, 62 nt
Filed under: Fragilariopsis kerguelensis
Lineage: Eukaryota; Bacillariophyta; Bacillariophyceae; Bacillariales; Bacillariaceae
Rfam family: tRNA
About the family: Transfer RNA (tRNA) molecules are approximately 80 nucleotides in length. Their secondary structure includes four short double-helical elements and three loops (D, anti-codon, and T loops).
Source: RNAcentral